Thamnophis sirtalis is the source of this 390-nucleotide non-coding RNA. NCBI's taxonomy places the organism in Eukaryota, Metazoa, Chordata, Lepidosauria, Squamata, Natricidae. The record is from the annotation of a RefSeq genome assembly.
AUGACUCUGUGGCCAAAGUUGGUCUUCUUACUGGCAGCCUUUCAAGGUGUCCAGUCACAAGCCCAGAUGGUGGAGUCUGGAGGGGAUGUGAGGAGACCGGGAGAGUCCCUCCGUCUCUCCUGCCAAGCCUCUGCAUUCACCCUCACUGACAACUACAUGCACUGCGUGAGACAGGCCCCAGGGAAAGGACUGGAAUGGUACUACUCUGACAAAGUGAAGGGAUGCUUUACCAUUUCCAAGGAUGAUGCCAAAAUCCAGCUGUAUCUGCAAAUGAACAACCUGAAAGAAGAGGACACAGCUGUCUAUUACUGUGCGAAAUACACAGUGAGAGGAAGUGAAUCUGAAGCCUGCCAAAAACUUUCUCUGCCUCUGAGUAGCUCUCCAAAAUGA